UACGUAGGUGGCAAGCGUUGUCCGGAUCUACUGGGCGUAAAGAGCGCGCAGGCGGUCGGAUAAGUCGAAUGUGAAAGCCCCUGGCUCAACCAUGGAGGGUCAUUCGAUACUGUUCGACUCGAAGGCAGGAGAGGGAAGUGGAAUUCCGGGUGUAGUGGUGAAAUGCGUAGAUAUCCGGAGGAACACCAGUGGCGAAGGCGACUUUCUGGCCUGUUCUUGACGCUGAGGCGCGAAAGCUAGGGGAGCAAACGGG
RNAcentral lists this ribosomal RNA (253 nucleotides) under uncultured bacterium. Its description in RNAcentral is "partial 16S ribosomal RNA". It matches the Rfam family "Bacterial small subunit ribosomal RNA", at positions 524 to 776 of the family's 1533-position model. The record is from RNAcentral.